Molecule: long non-coding RNA, 364 nt
Organism: Mastomys coucha (southern multimammate mouse)
Lineage: Eukaryota; Metazoa; Chordata; Mammalia; Rodentia; Muridae
Exons: 2
Source: RefSeq, a predicted model, not a curated record
AUGAUUACUUUUGUCCAGUGAGCAUGCUCUCAGGUCUAGAGACUAAGCAUCCUGAUCUGACGUAUCCAGGAAACCCAGGACUCUCCUCCAUCCAUACUCCCUCAUCCACACUGAGACCUGAGGCAGGUGCUCCUUCCUGCUCUUUAUCAAGGUUCCCAGAGCAGCAAUAGACUUUGAUUCACCAUUCUCUCUCCACCUCACAUGUAGGACACAUACCCUCUGUCCCAUGACACAAUGGGUUAUACUCCUGGACAAGCACUAAGGACAUGAGCUCUCAGUGGCUUUGCCAUCACUCCACAGCCAUGGACUCUAACCCUCUGGACCCAGAAGCCCAAAUAAACACUCUGUGUUAUUGGUUGUCACA